This 510-nucleotide ribosomal RNA is filed under the name uncultured microorganism. RNAcentral describes it as "bacterial SSU rRNA". It matches the Rfam family "Bacterial small subunit ribosomal RNA", at positions 9 to 524 of the family's 1533-position model. The record is from RNAcentral.
GAGUUUGAUCCUGGCUCAGGACGAACGCUGGCGGCGUGCUUAACACAUGCAAGUCGAACGAGAAUCUACUGAAAGAGUUUUCGGACAAUGGAAGUAGAGGAAAGUGGCGGACGGGUGAGUAACGCGUGAGGAACCUGCCUUGAAGAGGGGACAACAGUUGGAAACGACUGCUAAUACCGCAUGAUGCAUAAGGGUCGCAUGAUUCUUAUGCCAAAGAUUUAUCGCUUCAAGAUGGCCUCGCGUCUGAUUAGCUAGUUGGCGGGGUAACGGCCCACCAAGGCGACGAUCAGUAGCCGGACUGAGAGGUUGAACGGCCACAUUGGGACUGAGAUACGGCCCAGACUCCUACGGGAGGCAGCAGUGGGGAAUAUUGGGCAAUGGGCGCAAGCCUGACCCAGCAACGCCGCGUGAAGGAAGAAGGCUUUCGGUAUGUAAACUUCUAUCAGCAGGAAGAAAUGACGGUACCUGACUAAGAAGCCCGGCUAACUACGUGCCAGCCGCCGCCGUAAC